Molecule: long non-coding RNA, 8144 nt
Filed under: Lepisosteus oculatus (spotted gar)
Lineage: Eukaryota; Metazoa; Chordata; Actinopteri; Semionotiformes; Lepisosteidae
Description: lncRNA (ENSLOCG00000022487.1)
Source: RNAcentral
CUGACGUCUUUCUUGCUUGUUAUGACGUCACAAUGGUUGCUGUAGCGUCCACAGCUAUUUUUAUAUGAGACCCCCAAACAUACGCGCAGCAGUAUAGAGAGGAGAUGCGCGGAAGGCGGAAAACAUGGACGAAAAAGAAAAUGUCGAAGAGGUGUAGGGUUGUUCAUCCUCCCGUCGGAGCACAGGGGCAACACCUCCUGCUGGAGCUGCCCCUGGGAGCCAAGGUCCCCAUCAUCCCGGGAGUCCGCACCACCUUCUACACCACCAACCUCAGCGAGAGGCUGUAUCAGGAUAGUGCCAGCUUCGUGCUCACGGAUCCGAACAGCCAUCAGAUUGACUCUACUUACAACAGCCUGCAUGACCCCAACCUGAAGCAGUUUUUCAACAACAGAAACAGGCAGAGGCUUCUGGUUAAAAGGGGCUUAAUAACACCACACAAGAAAGUUAUCUGCACCCCCAAAGAGUUCAACCAGUACCGGGAGUACCUGACCACAGUGAAACUCGACUGGGAGAAGAGCUAUUUGGAACAGCAGAAGGAGCUGGUGAAGCAGUUCCUCAUCCUCCAGGAGAGGAACGAGAUCCCCCAGGAUGUGUCCGUCUGUGACAUGAGGGAGUGGCUCCUGGAGCAUGGGAGUACCAUGCACCGCGAUGGGGAGAGGGCAGCCAGGAUGCGGCUGCAGUAUGGCAAGCCCAGAGACGAGAGGCCCCUGAGCCACACUCAGUUGACCUGGAGGGUGAAGGAGCGGCUCAUGCUGCAGGAGCUGGAGGUGGAGGCCCGCAGGGAGCUCCGGCUGGAGCGCCGCUGGUCCUACCCCAGGGCAGCAGGAGUUACGACGAAAAUAACAGAGGGGGAUUUGAACAUCCCACCCACCCCAGGACCCUCCCCUGUUUUGAGCCCUUGCACAAGCAUGUUCAGUGGACCACAGGACUGGGAAACAAAGAUCUUCUCAUCCCCAUCUGAAGCAGACAUGAGUUCUCUCUUAGAAUCUCAGUCCUCCUACAGCAAGGUCAAGUCUGAUCUGGAAAUGAAGAGAGUGGCAGAACAUUUCAAACAGACUAUUGCAGCGGAGGAGCUCAGCCCUGUUGCAAAGAACCUAGUGGAGUGGGUGGUGAGGGAAGUGAGCAGCAUUUUAAUUCCUGCCAUCCGGGAGUUUGAGGAGUUAAGGCGGGGGGGGUCCCACACACGGAGCAACACCAGCUGUUCAGAAGCCACCGAUCUGGGUGGAGCAGAGAGCAGCAGUUCUGUUCUUCAGAGUUGGUUGUACCCCUCACCUCUUACUUCUGGGAGGACCUCUGAUGCGUCCCCAUCAGUCAGUAUAAGUAGCCCGGAGACAGGCCAGGAUUCCCCCAGGGAGAUUAAACCUCAAAGCGGUGCCUCUGCUACCCCAACAGAGGAAGACAUGAGGCUCAUGACACCAGAGACUAACUUUUUGGCCCUCCCCUCUCCAUCACUAAUCAAGAAGGCGGAGAGCAUUGUGUGGGAUAUAUUUAACAAAGCAGUGGACAUUGUCAGUUGUCUCCAGCCCGAGGCCAAAACUGAAGAAAUGACUCCACUCUCCCAUGACAAGGCCUUUAUCCAAAAGGCGAAGAGCAUUGUGUGGCAUGUGGUUUGCAGGGCAGCGGAGGAGGUGAAAUCACAGGCUGCAGGGGCAGACGUGCAGGUGGCACCCUGUCGUGGACCAGGGUCCCUUAUCAGUAGCUCCAGAAGCAGCCUUUAUUCUCAUAACAUUGUGGACACCGUCCUUGAAAGAGUGAAAUCCAGUCUUGAGAAAACAUCUGCAUUGCCAGAUAAGAAGGUAGAUGGUGAAGCCUCAGGCUCCCAGGAUUGCCAGCCUUCCAACCUGACUUCACACUGUAUCUCUGUAGGAGGUCAGCCCUUUGUGAGCAGUUUUGGGGAGUCCAGCUCCACCUGUAGGCUUCUGGGAGGGCACCCAUUGGAGAUGAGAUCUCAGGUACCAAAAGUGGAAAAUGAUGAGCUGGACGCAGACCUAGAGGUCUUUGCCCAUGAGAUAAUUUCCUUGAUCCUGAAAAAGAUUAAUACAGAAACAGAAGAAGAAAAGGAUGUCAAAACAGAGGUAAAAUCACCACCCUCUGAAAUCCAGCUACAGACUGCUCCCAAAUUAGGAGGCAAGAAGAAACAGAAAUCUGAUUUUAAGCCAUCUUCCGAAAGUGCAAUAUGUGAUAGCACAGACAUAAACCUCCUAAGCAUACAGGUUGUCAGUGCCAUAUUCCAGGAAAUUAAGUGCCAGAUGGAUGAAGAAGAUCUCCUGAAAUUUUUGUCAGGGGAAAAGCAAUCUAAAGAAAGUCUUCAGGCCCGUGAGAUUGUGACAUCUGUCCUGGCUCAGCUGAAAAACAGAGAUUCUUGGGACAAAGCCUCAAAGACCUCAGUGAUUAUGAUGAAGAGUGGGAAAGCACCUUCUAAGACUGUCGUCCAACAAGCGAGUACUGUGCAGUCCCAUAUAGACUUAUCCAGCAAUGAAGGUGUGGCAGAGAUGUUUGACAUUUUUAAAUCAAAAUUCCGAAGAGCAGUGGUUCAGCCAGUUUGUGACAUUAUUGAAAAAGCAGCUGCCAAAUUUAUACGCCUUAAAUCCACCUUGUCUCCUCUUGAUGUUGGGAGGAGCAGAGAAUCUAAGGAAACUGGGUUACAGAGCCAUUGUGAUGAAGAUAAAUUGUCAGGCUCAUCUUCUUCUGAAGUAAUUUUAGUGGCAUGGGAUAUUGUGAAUGCUAUUCUUAAGAAACUUGUUGAUGCCUCGGGCUCUGCUGACACUACUUGCUCAAAAGAAAGUGAGUUUAAACUCAGAACAUUUGUCCAAGCAAUGUCCCUGGACAGUGGUUCAGUUGAUACAGUAGCCUCUGGAAUGUCAUUUUCGUUGUCCCAGAUCCAGUUAGUCUCUGGACAGCUUGUAAACACAGUUGUGAGCAAACUAAAAGCCUUUGUAAGCCAAGAUACGUUGUCAUCAUCUAGUUCUUGGAAAUUGUCAUCCAGCAAAAGUCCCUGUUCUGUGGAUUGCCUAGAGCUGAUUUCUGCCUUGACCCCAGGCUCAGCCCCAGCUAGACUCAGUACUCCAGAAACUUAUACUGACAGAAGUCCUUCAACAAGUGCAGGUACUUCUAAUGGCUUGAUUGGAAAUUCAGGACCUUUAGGAAUGCGCCAGGAUGCUCAGGAGAGGCAGUCAAACAGCCAUGUUGAUGUGAAGAAUGUUGUCAGUCAGAUCCUGCGAUCAGUCAAGACUGAGAGAGCCUAUAAAGCCAAACAUGGGAAAGAGGCAACUUUGACAAUUGACCAAGUGUCAACAAUCAUUACAGAAGUCAUGUUUACCAACCUAAUUGAAAGCGUGAAGGACCCUGCCACAGUGGCAUACACAUCCCCCCAGAUCAGAUACACUCUUAGCCCCUGUGACUCCCUUCCAGAGCUGGACAGAUUCCGUGACCCUGUUUCAUCAUCCGUCACAUCGCUCCUUGAUGAGAAGUUUGGGGCCCAGGCUAAGAACCUGAAAACAGCCAAGCAUACAUUUAAGCGUGUCACAGCUCCCACCUUUGAGAAGUUGGUGCUUGAGCCUCAUGGGAAUAAAACAGACGUAGUCGUCCAAAAGGUUGCUGUGGAAGAGUUGAGCUCUGAAAGCCAUGGAAGUGCAAAAGUGAUGAAGGAUGUCAAACCUGUGGUUACUAGGCCCACUGGAAGUGGUCAUGAAGAGGCCCGUGACAGUGCAAGCUUGCAGUCCAGUAGGAACAGCUCCACUUUGACUGAAGACAUCCAACCUUAUUUCUUUGCUGCAAAGAUCUCAACAACCUCAAUUCAGCUUCUAAAAUCAGUUGUGGACAAAUUCGUCAAAAAGCUACUGACAGAGUGCUUUCUCUUCAAUGAGCUUCUAUCAAGUGAGUUAAGGCAGAAGCAGAAGAGCUGUCCUUCAGAUGAGAGGGAGAGGAGGCGACAGGUUUUCAGGCACAAGCUUUCAAGUGGCAGAUCCUUGCCGGCAGAGGAAGACAGACCCCAGAGGCCUGGGGAGUGCGGUUGGCCAGAUUCAGAGGAAUACCACGAGAUACUUGCGGCUUUCUCCAACCUGCUGGUGAAAACUGUGAUGGGAACUCUCAUGCCUGGCAUCACCUAUGAAACCGGGACAACAUGCAUUGAGGAUCAAGGUGGCAGCAAGCAAGCCAGUUCACACAGCUGUAAUAAACGGAACAAGCAUGCGAACAGCAGCCCCAGUAACAACAUGCAGGAAGAGCGAGGCAGAGCCAUUAGAAAGUCUUCCAAAGCUGAUGGCAAACCCACUGAAGUUCAAGGGACGUCUAGAGAUCCUGUAAAGAAUUCAGAUAAAAAAGUAGUGAGGCCCAAAAUAUUCACUGAGGGCUCCUCAGGAGAAAGAAAAACAUCAGACAAGUACCGUUGUACAACAAUCGUGGUACAUCCAAAAACCCCAUCUAAGCCCCCCAAAUAUGAAAAGCCGAAAUGCUCUGCAAAAGAGAGUUCAAAAUCCAUCAAAGGACAAGAAAAAGGAGCAGCAAAGGUAUUGGAACCUGAGAUAGAUACCAAAGCUGACCCAUCAUCUGCCUCUGCAUCCGAGCAAAAUCCGAAAUCUGAGUCUAAGGCUAGUCAGAAUUCUUCUUCUUCAUCUUCCUCAUCCUACAGAUCAGUAGAGUCUUCAGAAGUCAUUAUACUGAACUCUGAAGUAGUGCAAGAUAUUCUGUCCUGUCUGAUGAUGAAAAUUUACUGUGACAAUGUAGGAAAAUCAGACCCUUCAGAUGACAAGGAUCUUCCCUCCACUUCCUCUGUGAGUCAGAUUGCUUUGGAUCUUUCUGACAGUGUCCUGAAAGAAUUGGCAGAAUUCGAGGGGAUAGCCGUAGACAAACAAGCUGGUCAGAAGAAUAUAUUCCACGAAACAAGCACUGUUAACAAGGUCGCCAUCUUUGUGUACAAGGUCUUGUUGUACCAUAUUGGUUUUGACGCAUUGCAGGAAACUGUAGCUUCAAAAAGUGAGGCUGUGGUCCAAAUGAUAGCCAGUUCAAUAGCUAGGAAGGUUUUCAAACUUCAGAAACCAACUGGAAAUGAUUCAGCCCCAUCUCAGUCUGCUUGCAAAAGCAGUGAAUCUAGUGUGGUGUCAACCACUGCCCAAGACCAAAUCAUUAAACUCCCAGCACCCUCCACUUGUGUGUCCAUCAUAGCAUCUGAUAUUGUAGAGGACAUCAUUACCAAGUUGCUCCUCAAAAUAAGCUCUAAUUGCUGGACACAUGAUGAAGAAAAGCAGAACAGAUACAGUUCAGCUCUUAAUGACAUGGCAGCAGGUUUAGUGAAGUCUGUACUGGAGGACCUCUCCCCUGACCAGACAAGAAGUGCAGGCGUGAAAGAGCAAGGCACUGAAAAGAGAGUCCUCCACUCUCAACCUUCCAGUGUGAGAAAAGCCGUCAACUCAGCUCACCAGGACCUAGUGCAACAGAGCGGCUCCUCAGCUUCACUGCAGAAGGCAGUAAAAUCUGGGAGUGAGGAAGUCACCACCGCAAUCAGAGCGGCCGUUGUGAAGCAGAUCUACGAGAUCUUUCUUUCGGGAUGUGACUCCUCAUCCAGCUCAAUCUCUAGCUCUACCUCAUCCAUCCAGUCCCACUCCAGUGAAGAAACCCGCAAAGUUCUCAAGUCUGCAGUGAGUGAUGUUGGGUCCACCAGCAGUGAAAGUUCACCAUCAGUAUCAUCUGUGCUCUCCUGUGAAGAAUUUGAGAUAAAUUGUGAAACGGUGAAGGAAAUUAUAACCAGGCUGCUUCUGGAAAUGCACCCUAACCUGUUCAAAGAAGGAGAGCAGCCCUGCCCGGCUGGGUCCAGCUUGCCUGUUAGCUCCCUCUUUGAUGAUGUAGUGAAGACGCUGUCAACUGUUCCGGGGGUGAAGAUCACCCAGCAUAAAGAAGGAAGCAGUUGUUACAAACCACUCAACAUUACAAGAAUUGUGCAAUCUGUUCUUCAGCAACUGGUGCAGAAAUCUGGCUCCAAGCUGAUUCUCCAAUUUGGAGUAGCAUCCAAGAAUAAGUCAGUCUACAAAGACAUUGUUCAGUUUGUGGUCAAUGAGAUAAUAAAAAGGAAAACAGACAUGUGCGCGAUUGUGCCCCCUGCUUUUGUCCCCGAAAAGGACUCCCAGUCUACUGAUAGGGAUUUGACUUCAUCGCCCAGUGAACAGGAGAAUGUGAAUGGAACAGUUCCCUCCCCCACCACUGAGGAUAUUGUCUUGCCAUUUGGAUUGAUUGAGCACAUCAUCGCCAGACUUCUUCUGAAAAUGCACCCUCUUGUAGCACCUCCCCACGACUUCUAUUGGCAUCCAGACUGCCUGACGAAAUCGCAGCUCUGCGAGAUUGCCCUGGACCUGACUGAGAAGACACAGACUGAGUUGUCCCAGAUGCAAGGAGUGUCUAUUGGAAGUGAAGAGGGAGAAGAGAAUGGCUUUCCUCGACUUUCUGUAAUUAAAGAGGUAGUGAAUUUCAUUCACAGGGAAAUGCUUGAGACUAUUGGCUCCAAGCCUGAUCUCCAGAAAGCAGUUGCAACCAGAAGUCAGUCAGUACUCAACAAAAUACCCACCUCUGUUAUCCGUGAAUUAUUGAAACUAUACAGUUCAGUUAGUGUCCAUUACAGUCCAUUACCCCAUGAGUCUCACAAGAUCAUCAGCACUGCUCCGAGGCACUCAGGUACAGCCUGCAAGCAAGGGGCAGAAGAUUAUGCCAUGACUUUCUUGAAGCGUCAGCAAGCAAUCCUUCUUGGUUCAAUAAAACCUGGAAGUUUUCUUCUGCCUCAAGACAGAUUAGAACUAUGCAAGGUGGAUCCCUUUGCUUCCAUAAGACCCAGGAUAAACAUGUCUCUUGCAGCCUCAUAUCAAAUGUUUUUUGUGCCUGAACAUUUCAUAAGAGACAUUCUGAACAUUUUGCUGUGGAAACUGUGCCCUAUUAUGCCAGUCAAUGAUAAGGAACUCAUCUCUAAGCGGAAUGAACUGGAAGAUACACUGCUAAGAUCAGUGAUGAAGGACAUUGCGUUAUCAGAGGGAAGAGACAAUGUCUUUAGCCACUUCAACACAAGAAUGAACCAAAAGGCAGAGGAGCGAAUGGUCCAUAAGAUAGCAGAUUCAGUCUACCAUGAGCUCACACAGGGCUCCCAGAAACAAGGUAUUUUCUCGGUUGAUACAAUCUAUGAGAGCAAGGCCAAGCACCAGAAGGUCUCCAGGAUUGUGACCAAGAAAUUGCUUUUGUGUGGCAAAUCUGUUCAUCCUAUCAAUGAGACUAGACCUGCCUUCAGCAUCCAACAGAUUGGAGAGAUUUCAAAAAAGGUGGACCAGCUGGUCCCUGUUGAUACUGACAACAAGAUUUCCCUCAGUGAGGCGUUUGAGAAAAUCAUGGCCAGCCUCCCACAGGAACCUGACACUGCAGCACCUAUCAGUCCCCCGGAGGCCCCGGACAGUGAGGGACAGGAAGACACACAGGCUGCAGGGCUGGAUGAAACACCCCAUGAUGUACAGAUACAAACAGAGACACAGCUUGCAAUUGCAGAUGAAGUCAAUGAAGAUGCAGACUCUGGGGAGCAAUCUGACGAACCCCCAAUAGAAGUUGCCCUGCAAACUCAGAGAAAGAAAUCGAAGAGCCGCGUCCGACGUUUUUUCUCCAGAAUCAGAAAGGCGGUGUGCGGAAUGUGCUGCGUCAAAAACCGCUCUGACUAAUCAAUCAAAAAAACACAAAAAAAUGGAUUUAAAAAUAUUUUAAAAAAUGAUAAAUGAGCUACAUAUGUUUUUGCCCUCAUUUUCUUCCGUAAUUUAUACUCCCUCCAUUAUUUAGCUGUUCCAAAUCAAAUUUAUCUGCCCCCUCCAAAUUACACCACAUGGUUUAACUAAAAUCCCCAGAUGUUCCCCUAUUGCAUCCCCAGCCCAGACAUUUCUCCUACAAUGAACUUUUUGGCCAGCACAGCUGGUACCAAAAAUGUCAGCUCCCAGGAGGAUGGGGGUCAGCUCAGACGACCUCCUCCCCACCUCACCGGGCACCUGGUCAGGAGGAGUUGGUGUGGUGCUGUGGGGCUCCAUUUACCCUGGCCUUGUCUGUCUCAACCCAGGGUCACCAACUGUACCUUUACUUUACCGCAAGGGAAGACUACUGUUUAAUGAUAAGUUUAAUCAAUAAAGAUUUUC